Molecule: non-coding RNA, 774 nt
Organism: Camellia sinensis
Lineage: Eukaryota; Viridiplantae; Streptophyta; Magnoliopsida; Ericales; Theaceae
Source: RefSeq, a predicted model, not a curated record
CUCUCUCACAAUAUCAAAUUACUCUUUUGUUCUAAGGUUCUAAUCAACAGAUUCAACACGGAGCCCUCAUAUUCAACACAGGGUUCUGAUUUUAUAUAAUUAUGUUGUAAAUCUUUCUCUCUGGCUUUGUUGUUCUUGUUCGAAGCUUGAAUCUCUCUCUCAUUGUGGUUGAUUCUUCGUUUUUGCAUUUGAAUUCAAGUAUCUGAUGAUUCAAAGGCCUAAUUCAUUUCUGAGGAAAUGGAGCUAGUGUCCUUCGGAUUGUUCCCUAUGCAGCAUUACAUUUCAUCAUGAAAUAUGAGCAGUAUCACAUUUGGAUCUUGAACAAUUACUCUGCCUUGGGAACGGGCCCCAUGAUAGAAUGGUGAAUGGGUUGAUCAUGUCACUUUGCAGGCUGCUGCAGAUUCUACGAAGUUAUUUCAGAAAAAUAUAUCUUGGAAUAUGGAAUGGAUUGUCUAGAGAUGCAUGUUGGAGCAGUUGAGCCUGAUGAACGUGCUUUGGUGGUUGAUGAUUUGAUUGCCACUGGUGGAACCCUCUGUGCAGCAAUGAAUUUACUGGAACGUGCAGGGGCUGAAGUUGUUGAAUGCGCAUGUGUAGUUGAAUUACUAGAUUUAAAGGGGAUGAAGAGUCAAUGUGAUGAGAAAAUGUUCGAUUUUGUCUUUUGUAAGACAAGAACAGUCUCUACAAAAAUAGUAAGUUUAUUCAUAUCAUUCUAGCGGUUUCUGAAUUAAUUUGUGUUUUUAUUUUUCAGGUUAGAAAUUUCUUGGAGACAUGAAA